This 253-nucleotide ribosomal RNA is filed under the name uncultured bacterium. RNAcentral's name for it is "partial 16S ribosomal RNA". It matches the Rfam family "Bacterial small subunit ribosomal RNA", at positions 524 to 776 of the family's 1533-position model. The record is from RNAcentral.
UACAGAGGGUGCAAGCGUUGUUCGGAAUCAUUGGGCGUAAAGGGUGCGUAGGCGGGUCUUUAAGUCAGGGGUGAAAUCCUGGAGCUCAACUCCAGAACUGCCUUUGAUACUGAGGAUCUUGAGUACGGGAGAGGUGAGUGGAACUGCGAGUGUAGAGGUGAAAUUCGUAGAUAUUCGCAAGAACACCAGUGGCGAAGGCGGCUCACUGGCCCGUUACUGACGCUGAGGCACGAAAGCGUGGGGAGCAAACAGG